RNAcentral lists this long non-coding RNA (199 nucleotides) under Gossypium barbadense (sea-island cotton). RNAcentral describes it as "long non-coding RNA (GBAR_LNC009086)". The record is from RNAcentral. Lineage: Eukaryota; Viridiplantae; Streptophyta; Magnoliopsida; Malvales; Malvaceae.
UGGAAGGAAAUGUUUUGGUAUGAUCUUAUUUUAUGUUGGCAUGAAUUGGUAAGGUUUAUAAAUAGGAAAAUGUUGAUAUUGUUAUGAUAUAAAUGAUGAAUGUUUUCGCAUAAAAUUGGUUGAAAUAGUGGUGCAUAUAUGCUUGUUUCUUUGCUUGUAGGCUGACCCAAAUUUGGGGUGGCAAAUUGGCUAUUCAAAU